GGUUAAGCGACUAAGCGUACACGGUGGAUGCCCUGGCAGUCAGAGGCGAUGAAGGGCGUGCUAAUCUGCGAUAAGCGCCGGUAAGGUGAUAUGAACCGUUAUAACCGGCGAUACCCGAAUGGGGAAACCCAGUGUGAUUCGUCACACUAUCAUUAACUGAAUCCAUAGGUUAAUGAGGCGAACCGGGGGAACUGAAACAUCUAAGUACCCCGAGGAAAAGAAAUCAACCGAGAUUCCCCCAGUAGCGGCGAGCGAACGGGGAGGAGCCCAGAGCCUGAAUCAGCAUGUGUGUUAGUGGAAGCGUCUGGAAAGGCGCGCGAUACAGGGUGACAGCCCCGUACACAAAAGCGCAUGUGCUGUGAGCUCGAUGAGUAGGGCGGGACACGUGGUAUCCUGUCUGAAUAUGGGGGGACCAUCCUCCAAGGCUAAAUACUCCUGACUGACCGAUAGUGAACCAGUACCGUGAGGGAAAGGCGAAAAGAACCCCGGCGAGGGGAGUGAAAAAGAACCUGAAACCGUGUACGUACAAGCAGUGGGAGCACAGGUUUACCUGUGUGACUGCGUACCUUUUGUAUAAUGGGUCAGCGACUUAUAUUCUGUAGCAAGGUUAACCGAAUAGGGGAGCCGCAGGGAAACCGAGUCUUAAUUGGGCGUUAAGUUGCAGGGUAUAGACCCGAAACCCGGUGAUCUAGCCAUGGGCAGGUUGAAGGUUGGGUAACACUAACUGGAGGACCGAACCGACUAAUGUUGAAAAAUUAGCGGAUGACCUGUGGCUGGGGGUGAAAGGCCAAUCAAACCGGGAGAUAGCUGGUUCUCCCCGAAAGCUAUUUAGGUAGCGCCUCGUGAAUUCAUCUCCGGGGGUAGAGCACUGUUUCGGCUAGGGGGCCAUCCCGGCUUACCAACCCGAUGCAAACUGCGAAUACCGGAGAAUGUUAUCACGGGAGACACACGGCGGGUGCUAACGUCCGUCGUGAAGAGGGAAACAACCCAGACCGCCAGCUAAGGUCCCAAAGUCAUGGUUAAGUGGGAAACGAUGUGGGAAGGCCCAGACAGCCAGGAUGUUGGCUUAGAAGCAGCCAUCAUUUAAAGAAAGCGUAAUAGCUCACUGGUCGAGUCGGCCUGCGCGGAAGAUGUAACGGGGCUAAACCAUGCACCGAAGCUGCGGCAGCGACGCUGAUGCGUUGUUGGGUAGGGGAGCGUUCUGUAAGCCUGUGAAGGUGUGUCGUGAGGCAUGCUGGAGGUAUCAGAAGUGCGAAUGCUGACAUAAGUAACGAUAAAGCGGGUGAAAAGCCCGCUCGCCGGAAGACCAAGGGUUCCUGUCCAACGUUAAUCGGGGCAGGGUGAGUCGACCCCUAAGGCGAGGCCGAAAGGCGUAGUCGAUGGGAAACGGGUUAAUAUUCCCGUACUUGGUGUUACUGCGAAGGGGGGACGGAGAAGGCUAUGUUGGCCGGGCGACGGUUGUCCCGGUUUAAGCGUGUAGGUGUGUGUUCCAGGUAAAUCCGGUUCACUUUAACACUGAGGCGUGAUGACGAGGCACUACGGUGCUGAAGCAACAAAUGCCCUGCUUCCAGGAAAAGCCUCUAAGCAUCAGGUAACAUCAAAUCGUACCCCAAACCGACACAGGUGGUCAGGUAGAGAAUACCAAGGCGCUUGAGAGAACUCGGGUGAAGGAACUAGGCAAAAUGGUGCCGUAACUUCGGGAGAAGGCACGCUGACACGUAGGUGAAGUGAUUUACUCACGGAGCUGAAGUCAGUCGAAGAUACCAGCUGGCUGCAACUGUUUAUUAAAAACACAGCACUGUGCAAACACGAAAGUGGACGUAUACGGUGUGACGCCUGCCCGGUGCCGGAAGGUUAAUUGAUGGGGUCAGCGCAAGCGAAGCUCCUGAUCGAAGCCCCGGUAAACGGCGGCCGUAACUAUAACGGUCCUAAGGUAGCGAAAUUCCUUGUCGGGUAAGUUCCGACCUGCACGAAUGGCGUAAUGAUGGCCAGGCUGUCUCCACCCGAGACUCAGUGAAAUUGAACUCGCUGUGAAGAUGCAGUGUACCCGCGGCAAGACGGAAAGACCCCGUGAACCUUUACUAUAGCUUGACACUGAACAUUGAGCCUUGAUGUGUAGGAUAGGUGGGAGGCUUUGAAGUGUGGACGCCAGUCUGCAUGGAGCCGACCUUGAAAUACCACCCUUUAAUGUUUGAUGUUCUAACGUGGACCCGUAAUCCGGGUUGCGGACAGUGUCUGGUGGGUAGUUUGACUGGGGCGGUCUCCUCCUAAAGAGUAACGGAGGAGCACGAAGGUUGGCUAAUCCUGGUCGGACAUCAGGAGGUUAGUGCAAUGGCAUAAGCCAGCUUGACUGCGAGCGUGACGGCGCGAGCAGGUGCGAAAGCAGGUCAUAGUGAUCCGGUGGUUCUGAAUGGAAGGGCCAUCGCUCAACGGAUAAAAGGUACUCCGGGGAUAACAGGCUGAUACCGCCCAAGAGUUCAUAUCGACGGCGGUGUUUGGCACCUCGAUGUCGGCUCAUCACAUCCUGGGGCUGAAGUAGGUCCCAAGGGUAUGGCUGUUCGCCAUUUAAAGUGGUACGCGAGCUGGGUUUAGAACGUCGUGAGACAGUUCGGUCCCUAUCUGCCGUGGGCGCUGGAGAACUGAGGGGGGCUGCUCCUAGUACGAGAGGACCGGAGUGGACGCAUCACUGGUGUUCGGGUUGUCAUGCCAAUGGCAUUGCCCGGUAGCUAAAUGCGGAAGAGAUAAGUGCUGAAAGCAUCUAAGCACGAAACUUGCCCCGAGAUGAGUUCUCCCUGAGACUUUAAGUCUCCUGAAGGAACGUUGAAGACGACGACGUUGAUAGGCCGGGUGUGUAAGCGCAGCGAUGCGUUGAGCUAACCGGUACUAAUGAACCGUGAGGCUUAACCUU
RNAcentral lists this ribosomal RNA (2908 nucleotides) under Salmonella enterica. Its description in RNAcentral is "23S ribosomal RNA". It matches the Rfam family "Bacterial large subunit ribosomal RNA". Lineage: Bacteria; Pseudomonadati; Pseudomonadota; Gammaproteobacteria; Enterobacterales; Enterobacteriaceae. RNAcentral also lists the same sequence under 1 other name. The record is from RNAcentral.